This 105-nucleotide microRNA precursor is filed under the name Marmota monax (woodchuck). Lineage: Eukaryota; Metazoa; Chordata; Mammalia; Rodentia; Sciuridae. The record is from RNAcentral.
AGUGCAAUUGCUGAGUACAAUGUUAAACUUUAUGUUUAACAUUUUUGAAGAGCUGUCAGACUGUUUUACUAAGUAGUUGCACCAUUUAACAUUCCUAACAGCAAU